RNAcentral lists this transfer RNA (74 nucleotides) under Omnitrophica WOR_2 bacterium SM23_72. Its description in RNAcentral is "tRNA-Arg". It matches the Rfam family "tRNA". From Rfam's summary of the family: Transfer RNA (tRNA) molecules are approximately 80 nucleotides in length. Their secondary structure includes four short double-helical elements and three loops (D, anti-codon, and T loops). Lineage: Bacteria; Pseudomonadati; Candidatus Omnitrophota. The record is from RNAcentral.
GCGCCUGUAGCUCAACUGGAUAGAGCGCCAGUCUUCGGAACUGGAUGUUGCGAGUCCGACUCUCGCCGAGCGCA